This 1814-nucleotide long non-coding RNA is filed under the name Eucalyptus grandis. RNAcentral's name for it is "long non-coding RNA (EGRA_LNC006666)". Lineage: Eukaryota; Viridiplantae; Streptophyta; Magnoliopsida; Myrtales; Myrtaceae. The record is from RNAcentral.
CGCUGGUGGUGAGGUUGCGGUGGAGUGGCGAAGAUGAAGAAUAUGGCGUGAGGAGGGUGGGGGCUGAUGGUGGAUGAUGGUGAAGAUGGGAUGAUGAUGGAGUGAUGGAGGUAAAUUAUGGAUGGUGUGAUGCUGGCGUGAGGAUGAAUUGAGGGAAAACGUGUGGUAGAGAAAAGAAAGAAAAUGGAGGGGAGGGGAUAAAGUUGACGAUCAAGUGCUUGAGGCGAAUUGACAGCUGUGGAUAACAAUCCUCGACAGCAUCCUAAACCUUAAUGGACCCAUGGGAUUGGCUUUGCUAGAGGGAAUACUUGGAUCUCUUGUGAAGGAUGAAAUGUAGCUGCGUCCGUAUAUUAUCUUCCUUGAACUAGGUAUGAGAAACCUGACCCAAAAGAAAAAACUAAGUACGAAAAAAAUAAAUAAAUAAAUAAAUAAAUAAAAAAGAUGCAGGUUGGUUAACAGGUUUACCGUGAAAUUGGCUGGUUAGGUUACAAGCUAGUUUUAGGGCUGGUGCGGUUUCUAGUUUCAAAAACUGAGAAUCAGCUUUAACAGGAUAGAUUCCAUAUUUUCAGUCUAGAAGCUAUCUAUCUUGAAACUAAUCACUCUUAAAUACUAUAAUAGUUCAUUUGCUUUUUAAUUACAAAGCUUUGAAUCUUUUCUAUCUUGAAACUAUUCACUCUUAAAAACUAUAAUAGUUCAUCUGCUUUUUAAUCCAAAAGAUUAAGGAAUUCUCGUGAACUACAUAUUAUUUUAGAAAAAAUAAAUAUAAUCAUAACACAAAAUUAUAUGUUUUCAUCUAAAGACCUCAUAGCCUAUGACCAUUAAGACCUGACCUUUAGUUAUAAAAGACCCAUGAUAGGAAAAUGAUAGUGAAAGGAUGGAUUUUAAUGCUUAAUUGGAGAGACAGAAAGCGUGCUAAAGAACGAAAAUGAACUGCAUAAAAGCAUCACUUGGUGAACUCUUUCAUUGAGAUGGCGGUUUGAGUACAGCGAACAGAAUGCUUAUGGCAAUAACUUCACUGGCUCAAGACGACAAGGUGAGAAUGUGAGACUAAUUGUCAUGCAUAUCAUAAGAAGCAACUAUCACCUUCAGGGGGUCGACACAUGCAAAGUACUCUUUAAAAAUAUCAGUAACACUUAAGGACCAACCCUGCAUCUCUAAACUCAAGUAAAGUACCAAGUCUGACAAGUGAUGCUGGAAAGUCCAGAGGAUACCGCUGCUUGUUCUGCUAGGUGAAGCUUUGCACACAAUCUAAUCCAUCGAACUACUCUACACUGAGUCUGAGGGCAGCAAAUACGGUAAACUUUUUAAAGAAAAUCCUGCAGGUAACAUUAAAUACCAGGCGGUAAUCAGUAUCAAAAGAAAAUCAAGAAUGGAGAAGAAGCCAUGACAGUCAAUCAGCAACAGCAGUAUCUUUGUGUAGCACGUCGCCUGUUUGAGCUUAAGUAGUACAACCAUGGUGGAGCUUGACAUAAAGAUUACCACCAAGGAUUGUGACCAUCACUGUUUGUCUUAAAGAGUUACAUGUAAAAUAUGGGCUUUGACCCAGUCAAAAAUAAAAAGGAGAAAGAGAGAGAGAGGAAUCGAGAGUUUUCGGGAGAGAGAGAGAGAGAGGAAGGAAGAAAAGACAGAAAGAAAAACAAAAGGAAAAAAGAAAAGAAAAAGGAGGAGAUAAAAGGGAAAGAGAGAAGGAAAGAAGGGAUAGAGAGGGACCGCAGAGAGCUCGAACACAGGGAGAAGAAUAAAGAGAGAAAGAAGAAGAAGAAGAAGAGAAAAUAAAAAGAGAGGCUUCAUGCGUUCUCGUCACGGGAACCUCG